Long non-coding RNA from Canis lupus familiaris (dog), 1262 nucleotides. RefSeq lists it as uncharacterized. The record is from RefSeq and is a predicted model, not a curated record. NCBI's taxonomy places the organism in Eukaryota, Metazoa, Chordata, Mammalia, Carnivora, Canidae. The transcript has 5 exons.
CCCAGUUCCUUCCUGAGAAGUAGGAGACAAGACCUCUCUCUCCUGCCUCAGUGCACCCCCUGCCCUCCCCGGUGGACAGGAGGCGAGAUGCUCAGGAGAAGAUAUUUAUUCAGGACCCGCUCUGUGCCUGGAGCUGGUAAACAGCACGGGAGCUGGGAAGACAGGUCCUCAUCCUCCUGGAGCUGCUGAGUCAGGGGGAGACAUGAGUCAAGUCAGCCCACAACCGUUUAGGUCACAGAGGCCUUUGCUGCAGCUGACGGGCUACAUAUUUUUAACUCGGAGAAGAACGUCCCAGCCCUUCGGAGCUUCCCGCCAGCAGCCCCUCGUUGGGACCAGGAACGCAGCUUGCUUCCUGCCGUCGGUAGUCUCGCCUCCACCCCCACCCCAGCCCCAGCAGCUCCGACUUCUCAAGUCGAGACGGCGAAAGGUCUUGGGAAUUUUCAUAAAACUCUCAAAUCUGGCUGCGAGCCAAAGGGAAACAGCUCGGAGAGAGGCUGACGCUGUCGGCUCCUGAUUCAGUUUUGGGAUUUCGGAAGUUGGGGAUCACGGUGACAACGUAAGCAUCACAGUGCCGGGGAUGGACAUGAUUGUUUGCCAGGUGUGUGGUUCGUCCUUUCCUCCCAAGGGGAUGCAGCAUCAGGAGGACGGGCUUCUGAGGGAGCCAGAGACUUUAUCACCAGAAGAACAUGACAGCGGCCUGGCUGACUCUUCAUCAUUUUUAAGAUGUGACGACAGUCACCUCCUCCAGGAAGCCUUCUCAGACUUUCCGGCCGUGUCAGGAGCCUUGUCUGGACCCCUGCCUCUGCGCUGGGCAUGUGGCAUGCUGUAUGACACUGGUCUAUUUCUUCUCUGUCCCCGUCUUCAGACUGGGAGCUCCCUGAGACCAACCUCUGUGAUUAAACCAGUCUUCGGGCCUAUUCAGGCUUCAGCGCAGGGCUCGGGGCUGAGUAAAUACCAAUCCCCUUUGCGCAUGCCUCCCAGAGCUGGGGCCUCCAGGGCGGGCAGCCUCUACUUCCACCUUGCCCCCUUGCCCUGGGGAUAAGGCCCAGGCGUGGCCUCUGCUCCCAACACCUGCAGGCCACUCCGUGCAGGCCCUGAGCCCCUUCUCCCAGCCGCUGGGGCCUCCGCUCUCUCCCUUGAACAAAUAAUAAUUGUUAGAAAAAGGCCUGUGGAUAAAUUAUUAUCGUGACCCUCAUUCCAGUGCAGAAAACUUUUGCUAGCUGCCAAGCGAAAAGUCAAAAUUUGCAUUUAAAUAGAAAACG